Non-coding RNA from Megalopta genalis, 2674 nucleotides. Lineage: Eukaryota; Metazoa; Arthropoda; Insecta; Hymenoptera; Halictidae. The record is from RefSeq and is a predicted model, not a curated record.
GUGUCGCGCCAGGCCCCCGCUAGCGGCUAGCCAAGCAAGCAGCAAGCAGUCGCAAUCCCGUCGCCUAACCAGCAUUGCUCGCCUUACCUUUUCACCCUCUUACAAAAUCGCAUCGAGGCUUCCGUCAGACGCAUAUAUUUGCCCCGUUCCAUCAACCGGUCCCUCCGACGUCGUUCGUCGUCGUUCGUCGUCGCCAUUGCCGCCGCCACCGCCGCCGCCGCUGUCGCCGUCGCCGUCGCCGUUGCUGCUACUGCCGUCGUCAUCGUCGCACACGCAGUACGUCGUCGUUAUUGCUCUCGCAAUCGUCGUCCAGUCGCGCGUGGAUUACGAAGCAGCGGUUCUUGUUAGAAAAGGGAAAUUGCGAGCGAAUACUAUUAACCAUUCGAAGGAAUUGAAACGGAGUCUCCCGCGAGAAUAUCGGACAAGCUGAUUAUGAGUUGGAACAGUGGAGCGGGUCAGCGAGCAUCCGGGCCAGCGUUUUUAAAGUGAGAACAAGUUUUCCGUGGUUUUGUGUCGUACCCGCGAGAUCCGUUGGAACAGUACAGUUGAGGAGUACCAAGGUUCGAGGAACCAGUGAACGCUCGCCGACCGCCUAACCUUACGUCUUGUCACGGUGACCGACAUCACGGCGAGAUCGCGGCUGAUACCUCCGCGUGUUCCGGCGCAAGAACAGCAGAAUCCGGAGUUCGACCGCGGGAGGAACCAGGAGUGCGCCGAAUAAAUGACGUAAAUCCGAGGAACGGAAACGCAACGUCACUCGCUAACUCGCAAUCCCCCUUCCCCCCACCGAACCUCACCCCUUUUCUGUCUUUCUCUUUUACCGUCUCCGUGUCUCCUCCCGUUCCCCCUUCGUCCAAUCCGCAACGACCCGGCCCGACCCCGAGAAUUCACGACCCAAACGUAGAACCGGACCUUUCUACCCUUGCCUUUUUACCCGCUUUGUCGCCUACCGCCUUGCUUACUCUCUUUACCAGCCUCCUUCUUCGGCUCCUUCUUCAGGGGAACAACGGUCUAUCCCUUCUUCUUCGUCGUCGUCGUCUACUUCCAUCCCCCUGGCCCGUCGAAGGAUAGCUAGGCUCAGCUUUCCAACAUUCGAGAACUCCUUUCUAGAUCCGUUCUCUACCUUCACGGAGUCUUUAGUCCUCUACUUCCUGGUCCAGUAGACACUACACACGAGAACACACGCUUCAGAACCGGCUUUAAGGACACCACGACCGGCUUUACGAAACACACACGUCCACGUGCAUACGUGCAUACAGUACCAACGCAUACAUACAUAGACGCGCGCGCGCGCGCGCGCAGAGAUAUCCGUCUCUACGUAAUAAAAACUCCGACGCGGGCAGCCAGCAACAGCCAGCUCUAUAUAUCGAUCAAAGAAAACAAAUUUGCGCCUAGAGAGCACAUACAUUAGACACACGUACACAGAAUACAGAUACACGUAUAUACGUACACACGCUCCCCGUGGUCGACGUUUAGCUUUGAAAGGCUUUCAAGCUUUGCCCAAAAAACUACUACGCUCUGGUUGCUACUACGCGCCUUCUAAAGCUCCUACGACGUGCAUUGCGAGAAGAUAUAACAGUGUGCUGCUGGAUAAAGGAAGAUCGAGAGAUCGGUAAAGGGAAUCAGGAAGGAUCCACGAUCUUCUUGGUCAACGGAAGCCGCAAGCAUCGCCUCAAUAAAACAAUAAAGAGCAAAGCAAAGCAAAAAGAAAAAGCAGUAUAUCGAAGCAAGAGCCUAAUCGCUGUCGAUAGAACGCCUUUUUACCUCUUCGCUUACUUUCUCGGUGAAAUUCUCCCAGUUCUCCGAGGAGAAGCACGUUCCUCUUCCGUCAAUCGCAAUCGCUGUAAUCUUGCUCGAACGCCUGCGCUGCCACGGUGUGAACAUCGUCAUCCAAGUCCGAGACCGUAACGCUGGAAGUAGAAGGGAAGAAAAGAAUCAGUGACCAAAAAAAAUAAAUAAAUAAAUAAAAAUAAAAAUACACGGAGGGCAGAAACGACACCGGCUACUCUUUCUCUUUCUCACUGUCUUCGCUGUCUAGCUAACCGCUAACUCGGCAAGCUAAGCUGCACUGUCUCUUUGUAGCGACUAACCGCUCCGGUCGAUAACGCAAACUCUGCGUGCGAUAAAGAGCGAGCAGCCGAUAACAACGGUGAUAUCGCACGGUCUAAGAAUAGUUUAGAAUCGCGAGGCGAGAAGUCUCCGACAAUCCCGAGCCUUUAAACACGGUGUUCGAUAAUAUACGCGACAACGAAUAGUAGGCAAGUUCAAGAAGAAUACGACGGGUCUGAUCCACGCGAGUUUAUUCACUCCCUAGUUACCUUUGUUCACUUCGUCGUCGUCGUCGCCGUCGUCGUCGUCGUCGUCGUCGUCGUCGUUGUACGGUUACGCGAGUUUUACGGUUCGUCGUCGUCGUCGCCGCCACCGCCACCGCCUACACGGAAGAUACAGUGAUCUGGAAGACCAACGGCUUGACAAGAGACACGUUCAUGGAACAAUAAGAUCGCACGCUACGCGAAGACAAUCUUCCAAAGAUCAGCUGGUGCGAGCGAACGUGAACGAACAGGCCAACGCUACGCCGAGAACAGGCCAGCGAAGGAAGAGGAUAAAUUGAAGUCGCUCGAAAGCGUGUGCCCCGGCUAAGGAGGAGUCUCGUGGUCUUCCAGGACUGGAAGGA